UACGUAGUGGGCUAGCGUUAUCCGGAAUUACUGGGCGUAAAGGGUGCGUAGGUGGUUUCUUAAGUCAGAGGUGAAAGGCUACGGCUCAACCGUAGUAAGCCUUUGAAACUGGGAAACUUGAGUGCAGGAGAGGAGAGUGGAAUUCCUAGUGUAGCGGUGAAAUGCGUAGAUAUUAGGAGGAACACCAGUUGCGAAGGCGGCUCUCUGGACUGUAACUGACACUGAGGCACGAAAGCGUGGGUAGCAAACAGGAUUAGAUACCCUGGUAGUCCCUGA
RNAcentral lists this ribosomal RNA (276 nucleotides) under uncultured prokaryote. RNAcentral describes it as "partial 16S ribosomal RNA". It matches the Rfam family "Bacterial small subunit ribosomal RNA", at positions 524 to 800 of the family's 1533-position model. The record is from RNAcentral.